CCCUAGCCCCGAUUGAAACGGAAAUCCUUUUUAACGGAGCAACGCGCAGUUAAAAAGAUUGCAGUGCAAAGCGGGAAAUGGC
Molecule: small RNA, 82 nt
Filed under: Flavobacterium caeni
Lineage: Bacteria; Pseudomonadati; Bacteroidota; Flavobacteriia; Flavobacteriales; Flavobacteriaceae
Description: Flavo-1 RNA
Rfam family: Flavo-1 RNA
Source: Rfam by way of RNAcentral